AACAAUGGUAGCUCAGGCGGGGCAACUUUAGGGUUGACUGGGAUUCAUGGAGCCAGGACUGCAAACCCUGUUUGAGCUACCACCCAA
Molecule: non-coding RNA, 87 nt
Filed under: Sodalis ligni
Lineage: Bacteria; Pseudomonadati; Pseudomonadota; Gammaproteobacteria; Enterobacterales; Bruguierivoracaceae
Source: RNAcentral